AAAACUUUAAGUUAAAUAAAACUAUUAACCUUCAAAGUUAAUUAUAUAUAUAAAAUAUAAGUUUUA
RNAcentral lists this transfer RNA (66 nucleotides) under Stephanitis mendica. RNAcentral describes it as "tRNA-Trp". The record is from RNAcentral. Lineage: Eukaryota; Metazoa; Arthropoda; Insecta; Hemiptera; Tingidae.